RNAcentral lists this long non-coding RNA (882 nucleotides) under Homo sapiens (human). RNAcentral describes it as "HSALNT0278056". The record is from RNAcentral. Lineage: Eukaryota; Metazoa; Chordata; Mammalia; Primates; Hominidae.
UUCACUUUCAUUAGGCUGCUCUCCUCGUAACCCAAACUGGUUUAUGUUAGGAGAAAACAGUUUGAUGUCAGUGCGUGUCAUUUGGAAAGGAGCCUAUUUAAACUGGGCAUUAUAAGGAACUCAUAGUGCUUCCUCUGUUUGUUUCACAGCAUAAAAGACAUUGGUCCUGGUGGUAAAGAGACCUAGUGGAAGACACCAUUGCUGAUCUCCUGGGCAAAGUAGGGCAGAGCUUGCUGAGUUGUGGGAGGAAGCACUGCCCUGAGAGCCAGUGGUGUUCCAGACUCCUCCAUCCUCCUCCUCUUCCCAGCUGGGAUGGCGAGCUCCUGUGACUGGCCCGUCACUCUCCCCCCAGCCGUCUUGCAUAGAUUUGGAAUCUUUAAGGAAAGAAUGAAUUAACUCUUUGCAACAGCUAUAUAAAACAAUCAUCAGAAUAAUAAUUCCUUGCAGAUGCAGCAUUUACGUGUCUUUGUAAUUUUAUCUACUCCAUCUCCAUGGCAAGACAAAUAUUAUUACUCAUUUUUUAGAGAGCAGGAAACUAAAAUCCAUAAAGCUUCAAUGAUACACAGAAAGUUAACAAACCAUAGAAUCAAGGCCUCCUGAUUUAUGGAUCAAUGCUUUUUCCCUUGCACAAAGUUGGACAGGAAUUUCAAAACUGAAAAGAACUUAUCACAACAUUCCUGGCAAGAAAUUUCACAUCUCAAUUAAGAUAAAUCUGUUCCUCUUAAUGAACAUGGUUUACUGUAGCCCUGGUUUUAUCCUCCAUUCAGUAUGUACUUUAUAUACAAUGGACACUAUAAAUACGAGGUAUGAUAAAGGACAACUGUCUAGCUUGCUUGGGGUGAAGCAGAGACGAACAGAACAUGAAAAGGGGGAAAAUUUUUU